GACGAACGCUGGCGGCGUGCUUAACACAUGCAAGUCGAACGGAAAGGCCCUGCUUUUGUGGGGUGCUCGAGUGGCGCACGGGUGAGUAUCACGUGAGUAACCUGCCCUUUACUUUGGGAUAACUUCAGGAAACUCGGGCUAAUACCGGAUAUGAGCUCCUGCUGCAUGGUGGUGGUUUGAAAGUUUCGGCGGUUGGGGAUGGACUCGAGGCUUAUCAGCUUGUUGGUGGGGUAGUGGCUUACCAAGGCUUUGACGGGUAGCCGGCCUGAGAGGGUGACCGGCCACAUUGGGACUGAGAUACGGCCCAGACUGCUACGGGAGGCAGAAGUGGGGAAUAUUGCACAAUGGGCGGAAGCCUGAUGCAGCAACGCCGCGUGCGGGAUGACGGCCUUCGGGUUGUAAACCGCUUUCGCCUGUGACGAAGCGUGAGUGACGGUAAUGGGUAAAGAAGCACCGGCUAACUACGUG
RNAcentral lists this ribosomal RNA (468 nucleotides) under uncultured bacterium. Its description in RNAcentral is "partial 16S ribosomal RNA". It matches the Rfam family "Bacterial small subunit ribosomal RNA", at positions 28 to 507 of the family's 1533-position model. The record is from RNAcentral.